AUGCCGCAUACUUGUGAUGUUGCCGGAUGCCCCAAUGAUGCAUGCCGCAACAGGGGAACCAAUCUGUCUUUUCACUGGAUUCCACAGAAUGAACCCAUACGCUCGAAGUGGCUGAAUGACACGCCUUUGCGCCAGAGUGCUAAACAGUCAGACUGUGUGUGUGUGGUUGCUGCAUUUUUGUGAUGAGGACUACAAGACCAACCGCAACUUGGCCGAUGCUUGCAACGUGCCCCUCCGACCAAAGCUUUGCCCUAGUGCCGUCGCAUGAAUAUUUCCCAAGUCCGAGAGUCAGCUCGACACCCUGCCCGAGUUUCCUGUGUCCGACGACUUGCAACAACUUCUGUGGGACGACGACGUGGUGUGGGGGUAGCACCACGAGAAACUUCUGACACAGCUGCGCGAGACUAACUUACCGCUUUGUGGUGAUGGACGGAGAGAUUCUUUGGGUCAGAGUACCAAAUACCUGACAUACUCCUUCCUUGGCCCGAUUAAAAAAGAAAUCAUCCACGCGGAGCAAAUGCAAGUGAAGGAGAGUGAACAAGUGAAGGCGAGUGCCACAAUGGAGAAGGAAGGCCUUUGAAAAGGUCUGAAAUUUCUUUCGGACCAUGGAAUGACAGUGAAGUCACUCACGCUAGACCGCCACUCAGGCAUACAAAAAUACACGCGGCCGCAGUUCCCAGGAAUUGGUCCCUCCUAUGAUGUGUACCAUGUUGGAAAAGGUGCGAUAAAGUCGUUCUGCUCUCAUGCUAUA
Molecule: long non-coding RNA, 751 nt
Organism: Rhipicephalus microplus (southern cattle tick)
Lineage: Eukaryota; Metazoa; Arthropoda; Arachnida; Ixodida; Ixodidae
Source: RefSeq, a predicted model, not a curated record